GGGGCUGUAGCUCAGCUGGGAGAGCGUCGCGUUCGCAAUGCGAAGGUCAGGGGUUCGAUCCCCCUCAGCUCCACCA
RNAcentral lists this transfer RNA (76 nucleotides) under Rhodospirillaceae bacterium. RNAcentral describes it as "tRNA-Ala". It matches the Rfam family "tRNA". From Rfam's summary of the family: Transfer RNA (tRNA) molecules are approximately 80 nucleotides in length. Their secondary structure includes four short double-helical elements and three loops (D, anti-codon, and T loops). RNAcentral also lists the same sequence under 12 other names. The record is from RNAcentral. Lineage: Bacteria; Pseudomonadati; Pseudomonadota; Alphaproteobacteria; Rhodospirillales; Rhodospirillaceae.